UACGUAGGGUGCAAGCGUUGUCCGGAAUCAUUGGGCGUAAAGGGCUCGUAGGCGGUCUGUCACGUCGGGAGUGAAAACUCAGGGCUUAACCCUGAGCCUGCUUCCGAUACGGGCAGACUAGAGGUAUGCAGGGGAGAACGGAAUUCCUGGUGUAGCGGUGAAAUGCGCAGAUAUCAGGAGGAACACCGGUGGCGAAGGCGGUUCUCUGGGCAUUACCUGACGCUGAGGAGCGAAAGUGUGGGGAGCGAACAGG
Molecule: ribosomal RNA, 253 nt
Filed under: uncultured bacterium
Lineage: Bacteria
Description: partial 16S ribosomal RNA
Rfam family: Bacterial small subunit ribosomal RNA
Source: RNAcentral